This 506-nucleotide ribosomal RNA is filed under the name uncultured bacterium. RNAcentral describes it as "partial 16S ribosomal RNA". It matches the Rfam family "Bacterial small subunit ribosomal RNA", at positions 28 to 523 of the family's 1533-position model. The record is from RNAcentral.
GAUGAACGCUGGCGGCGUGCUUAACACAUGCAAGUCGAACGGACUUUACAUUUUUGAAGCAAUUAGCUUGCUAAGCGAGGAAAUGUUGUAACGUUAGUGGCGGACGGGUGAGUAACGCGUGGGUAACAUGCCUUAUACUGGGGGAUAACAGUUAGAAAUAGUUGCUAAUACCGCAUAAGCGCACAGUAUCGCAUAAUACAGUGUGAAUAACUCCGGUGGUAUAAGAUGGACCCGCGUCUGAUUAGCCAGUUGGUGAGGUAACGGCUCACCAAAGCGACGAUCAGGAGCCGGCCUGAGAGGGUGAACGGCCACAUUGGGACUGAGACACGGCCCAAACUCCUAGGGGAGGCAGCAGUGGGGAAUAUUGGACAAUGGGGGAAACCCUGAUCCAGCGACGCCGCGUGAGUGAAGAAGUAUUGCGGUAUGUAAAGCUCUAUCAGUAGGGAAGAAAAUGACGGUACCUAACUAAGAAGCCCCGGCUAACUACGUGCCAGCCGCCGCCGUAA